Molecule: signal recognition particle RNA, 99 nt
Filed under: Gemmiger sp.
Lineage: Bacteria; Bacillati; Bacillota; Clostridia; Eubacteriales; Oscillospiraceae
Also listed under: 5 other names
Description: signal recognition particle sRNA small type
Rfam family: Bacterial small signal recognition particle RNA
About the family: The signal recognition particle (SRP) is a universally conserved ribonucleoprotein involved in the co-translational targeting of proteins to membranes. Archaeal SRP consists of a 7S RNA and homologues of the eukaryotic SRP19 and SRP54 proteins.
Source: RNAcentral
AUGUGGGCCCCGUGCGCAGGAGCCCUGUGAACCAUGUCAGGCGGGGAACCGAGCAGCAUUAAGCGGUGGUCUCCUGGUGCUGCGGUCAGUCCGCAUUCG